Molecule: long non-coding RNA, 3092 nt
Organism: Struthio camelus australis
Lineage: Eukaryota; Metazoa; Chordata; Aves; Struthioniformes; Struthionidae
Source: Ensembl
AACCUUCAGAGUUCUCUUCCCCUGUCAGAUGGUCCAAGCAGCUGUAGUGACAACCAAUUCAGGAGUACAUAUCUAUCAGCUAGGUAGGUGGUUGUAUUAAAUGUGGAAGUUGCUAUGUGUUUGUAGAUCUUUAUUUUUUACAACUAACGUUGUACGUUUUGUUCUAAUGUAUUUGAAGUAAUGAGAAAAAAUUUUCUGUCCAGUUCAGAAGUUACCUAUUUGUGACUUGGAAUUACGAGCAAGAUAUUGGUAGACAAAUCUUCUGAUUGAAUAAUUUAUUUCUUCAUGGAAGCUCGUGAGCACAAAGCAGGAUACUCUAUCAGAAAAAAUACAUUUUACCCUAAGAUAGAGGCAGAAGUAAAGCACGUUUCAUACUUAAGUUCUUGUUUUGUGCUUUUAUAUAUUACUAAGGGUUGAAUGAGUGAAUAUUACGGCAUAACAUGUAAUAAAACCUUCACAGUAAAAUAUCCUCUUUUCAGAUCUCUGGAACUGCCAGUGAAGCUUCCUUUAACUGCACCAUCUAAUGCAAAACAGCAGGAUAGCCCAUCUGUAUGUGAAGUACUAAAUUCUUGUAAAAGUACCACUAUUUUGUCAAAGGAAGUACACUCAGAUAAACUCAGGUUUGCAUUAUCAUUGCCUUCUGAUAAAAAUAAUCAAAAGUCAAAUGAAAUAGACCAGGUGGAAGCAACUGUUGACACAAAUACAUUUUUAAAAGAAAAUCAGUUACGUACAGAACUAAAGUGCAACAGUGUCUUCCUGACUCAUGUCAAUAAUGCACAAUAUCAGAGACAGUCCGAGGAGCUUACAAAACAGUAUACUGGUAGUUCAUUGCCAUUCUGUGGAAACGUAACUGAAAGAAAGAAACAUACAGCACAUGAUAAGUCAAAAACUCAACAUAAUAUAAAGGAUUUUGAUAAAAAAUGCAGCUCAAAUAGUCUGCUUCAUUGUGGUAUUAAUAGCAGCAGCAACACCAAUGACAUGAGCUGUCACGCAAGAUCCAGUGACUUGUCUCACAGUAUUCCUUCACCUCUUCAGCUUAGCAGUGAAUGUAACAUAGAUUUUAAGAUUUCUGUGGACAAGAUUAAACCUGAAGAAACUGUUUAUGAUGCCGAUAUGGAGUUGACUGCUAGUGAUGUAGGUGAACUACUCACAGUUACAUCAAAAGAUAAACUGCACCAAAAUAAAAAUAGUAAUGCCAAUUCUGGUGAAACAUCAGCAAAUUUCAGAAGAGUAAAAUAUUCUAAGGAGAAAACUAAAAGCAAGCCUAAAGUAAGUUCAGAUUUUUAUGCAGAAGAAACUUGCUCUAAGGCUAACAGUAGUACAGAUUCAAAAACUAACGACUUGGCAACUCAAAUGUUCCAAAACCAGACAGAACAGCUACCUACAGGGAAUUCUUUAGAGAAACAGAGUUUAAAGAAUACCAGCAAAUAUUAUCAAGCACAGGAUUGUCCAAGUAAAGCUAAAGAUACUAGGAGGACAUACCUGGUUAACCUAGUGAGUCCAAGGAAACAAGAACAGGAGACAAAUCAAGACACUUGUCCAGAAAGGUCUGAAGAUAUGGAAAACAAAAUACAAGAAGCAGACUCUAACUCACCUAAUAAUAAGAUCCCACCUGAAAUUUAUUGUGCUGAAAGUUUUCCAUUCAAGGAUAACACCUCUAAUGCAUUGUCUUUACAGCAGGACUUUCUACAUACAAAUGAGAAACAUAUCAACCCAGAAAUGAACAGGAAAGCCUUUCAGAACCCUUCUAAAAAGAAGGCAACAAAACAUUUUAGAGAGGAAAAUGGACAGUAUAGAGAAUAUGGUUCAAAAAAGUCUCAAACAGAGAUAAGCCAACAUGAGUGGAAGAGAAAAGAGCAGAAGAAUAUUAUAAAGAAUAAAUACAACCGAAAAAGUAGUCACAGACAAAGUGGAGAAACUGAAAGUGACAGUGUUCAUAAAAUUAUUCAGAAAAUAGACCGAAGGAGUAAUAAAGUUUCACCAGGCAGAUUAAAACGUACAUUGGCAAAAGCUAGCCGGAAAGCGUGUAUAAUACCAACAGAAAACCUUAGGCAAUUCACACUGCUUAGAAAUGAAGGGUUAAAAAAUAAAAAUGUAUUGCACACAGAUGUUAUCCAUGGAAAUAAAAUAGCUAAAAUGCAGCAAAUACAAGGAGCUUUAGAUUUUCAGAAUGGUGAAGCUAUGAAUGCACUGCAAGCUAGUUCCUCCACAAAGCAAGUGGUUGAUAACAAUACUGACACGUUAAAGAAAGAGGUAGAUUCCUCAUCAGGGGCACAUAGAAAGCCUAACCUUAUUAAUUCUCCUGAUGAUCAGGUAAAGAAUAAAGGGAGCUUUAUUUCUGAUUUUACUGAGAUCAGACCAGAAAAAAAGGUUUUCGGGCAUAUUGACCAGGGGAAGCAGAAUAUUUUGGACAACCAGAAAGUCCCGCCUGAGACAGGUUCCUUUAAGAGCAAGUUAAAGCCUACAGUUCAAAAAUCAGAAUUUUUGAAAUUCUUACCUGUAAACUGUUCUGAGAAUAUGCCAUUAAGUUCAGGUAGAUUUUUCCAGGAAGGUCUUCCCCAUGUGGAGCUCCCAGUUGUUGAUUACCUUAACGUUUCAGUUAACGUCUCUAGCCUGAAAAACUCUGAAUUCUGUGGAAAAAAUGAUCAUGCUAAAACACUGGAUGCUGAAAUAGCAGAGCAAAAACUGGAUCAUACUUACAAAGAAACUUAUAAACAGUCUCUGACACCUUGUCAUGGGAGAAAGGCUUUGCAGGAUCUGACAAAUACCACCAUACGUUCUCACGCUUCCUUACCUAAAUCUCCCAAAACUUUAGAAGAAAAUUUAGCAGCACGAGCUAGACGAAGAAGAACCAGUAUUUGCUACAAAGAACCCAAUCUAAACAGUUGCAGUGUCAGUUGAGCUGAUUUUCUUUGUAAGUGGGAGAAAAGUAAGUCUUUUUUUCUUUUAUACUGCUUUUUAUAUUAAAUGAAUCAAGAGAAGUUCUAAAUAGAGUUCUCAUUUAUUAAGAACCUUUUAGCAAAAGCAGAUUUUACAGUGAGCUUUUGUAGUUACACAAAAGAGAAUAAAAUACUGUAUCAUAAAGGAUAAAU